Molecule: ribosomal RNA, 253 nt
Filed under: uncultured bacterium
Lineage: Bacteria
Description: partial 16S ribosomal RNA
Rfam family: Bacterial small subunit ribosomal RNA
Source: RNAcentral
UACAGAGGGCGCGAGCGUUAGGCGGAAUCACUGGGCUUAAAGCGUGUGUAGGCGGAUCGUUAAGUGCCUUGUGAAAUCCCACGGCUCAACCGUGGAACUGCUUGGCAUACUGGCGGUCUUGAGCAACCUAGGGGCGAGCGGAACAAAUGGUGGAGCGGUGAAAUGCGUAGAUAUCAUUUGGAACGCCAAUGGUGAAAACAGCUCGCUGGGGGUUUGCUGACGCUGAGACACGAAAGCCAGGGGAGCAAACGGG